CUACGGGACGCAGCAGUGAGGAAUAUUGCACAAUGGGGGAAACCCUGAUGCAGCAACGCCGCGUGGAGGAUGACGCAUUUCGGUGUGUAAACUCCUUUUAUCAGAGAAGAAAAUGACGGUAUCUGAUGAAUAAGCUCCGGCUAACUCCGUGCCAGCAGCCGCGGUAAUACGGAGGGAGCAAGCGUUAUUCGGAAUCACUGGGCGUAAAGGACGCGUAGGCGGGUUUUUAAGUCAGGUGUGAAAUCCUAUGGCUCAACCAUAGAACUGCACUUGAAACUGGGGACCUAGAGUAUGGAGGGGCAGGUGGAAUUAGUGGUGUAGGGGUAAAAUCCGUAGAUAUCACUAGGAAUACCGAAAGCGAAGGCGGCCUGCUGGGACAUUACUGACGCUGAGGCGUGAAAGCGUGGGGAGCAAACAGGAUUAGAUACCCGGGUAGUC
Molecule: ribosomal RNA, 438 nt
Filed under: uncultured bacterium
Lineage: Bacteria
Description: partial 16S ribosomal RNA
Rfam family: Bacterial small subunit ribosomal RNA
Source: RNAcentral